GAGUUUGAUCCUGGCUCAGAUUGAACGCUGGCGGCAGGCUUAACACAUGCAAGUCGAGCGGUAACAGGUCCUUCGGGAUGCUGACGAGCGGCGGACGGGUGAGUAAUGCAUAGGAAUCUGCCCGGUAGUGGGGGAUAACCUGGGGAAACCCAGGCUAAUACCGCAUGCGUCCUACGGGAGAAAGGGGGCUCCGGCUCCCGCUAUUGGAUGAGCCUAUGUCGGAUUAGCUAGUUGGUGAGGUAAUGGCUCACCAAGGCAACGAUCCGUAGCUGGUCUGAGAGGAUGAUCAGCCACAUCGGGACUGAGACACGGCCCGAACUCCUACGGGAGGCAGCAGUGGGGAAUAUUGGACAAUGGGGGCAACCCUGAUCCAGCCAUGCCGCGUGUGUGAAGAAGGCCCUCGGGUUGUAAAGCACUUUCAGCGAGGAAGAACGCCUGGCGGUUAAUACCCGCCAGGAAAGACAUCACUCGCAGAAGAAGCACCGGCUAACUCCGUGCCAGCAGCCGCGGUAAUACGGAGGGUGCAAGCGUUAAUCGGAAUUACUGGGCGUAAAGCGCGCGUAGGUGGCUUGAUAAGCCGGUUGUGAAAGCCCCGGGCUCAACCUGGGAACGGCAUCCGGAACUGUCAGGCUAGAGUGCAGGAGAGGAAGGUAGAAUUCCCGGUGUAGCGGUGAAAUGCGUAGAGAUCGGGAGGAAUACCAGUGGCGAAGGCGGCCUUCUGGUCUGUAAUUGACGCUGAGGCUCGAAAGCGUGGGGAGCGAACAGGAUUAGAUACCCUGGUAGUCCACGCCGUAAACGAUGUCAACUAGCCGUUGGGACUCUUGAAGUCUUAGUGGCGCAGCUAACGCACUAAGUUGACCGCCUGGGGAGUACGGCCGCAAGGUUAAAACUCAAAUGAAUUGACGGGGGCCCGCACAAGCGGUGGAGCAUGUGGUUUAAUUCGACGCAACGCGAAGAACCUUACCUACCCUUGACAUCCUGCGAACCCGGAAGAGAUUCCGGGGUGCCUUCGGGAACGCAGAGACAGGUGCUGCAUGGCUGUCGUCAGCUCGUGUUGUGAAAUGUUGGGUUAAGUCCCGUAACGAGCGCAACCCUUGUCCUUAUUUGCCAGCACGUAAUGGUGGGAACUCUAAGGAGACUGCCGGUGACAAACCGGAGGAAGGUAGGGACGACGUCAAGUCAUCAUGGCCCUUACGGGUAGGGCUACACACGUGCUACAAUGGCCGGUACAAAGGGCUGCGAGCUCGCGAGAGUCAGCGAAUCCCUUAAAGCCGGUCUCAGUCCGGAUCGGAGACUGCAACUCGACUCCGUGAAGUCGGAAUCGCUAGUAAUCGUAGAUCAGAAUGCUACGGUGAAUACGUUCCCGGGCCUUGUACACACCGCCCGUCACACCAUGGGAGUGGACUGCACCAGAAGUGGUUAGCCUAACGCAAGAGGGCGAUCACCACGGUGUGGUUCAUGACUGGGGUGAAGUCGUAACAAGGUAACC
Molecule: ribosomal RNA, 1489 nt
Filed under: uncultured Halomonas sp.
Lineage: Bacteria; Pseudomonadati; Pseudomonadota; Gammaproteobacteria; Oceanospirillales; Halomonadaceae
Description: bacterial SSU rRNA
Rfam family: Bacterial small subunit ribosomal RNA
Source: RNAcentral